Molecule: unclassified non-coding RNA, 320 nt
Filed under: Hevea brasiliensis (rubber tree)
Lineage: Eukaryota; Viridiplantae; Streptophyta; Magnoliopsida; Malpighiales; Euphorbiaceae
Source: RNAcentral
GGUUAUGCUUGGUACUUGUAUGGUGAUCGGAGAUGGUGUGCUCACUCCAGCAAUUUCAGUUUUCUCGGCAGUUUCGGGGCUGGAGCUUCACAUGGCUAGUGGCACAUAUGAAUAUGCUGUGGUUCCAAUCACUUGCAUCAUAAUUGCAUGCUUAUUUGCGCUUCAACACUUUGGUACGAGUCGGGUUGGAUUCUUGUUUGCACCAAUUAUUCUCUGCUGGCUGAUGUGCAUAAGUGCACUCGGAAUAUACAACAUCCUUCAAUGGAAUCCUCAAGUCUAUCAGGCACUCUCUCCAUAUUACAUGUACAAGUUCUUGAGGA